Molecule: small nuclear RNA, 355 nt
Filed under: Neogale vison (American mink)
Lineage: Eukaryota; Metazoa; Chordata; Mammalia; Carnivora; Mustelidae
Description: Neovison vison (American mink) 7SK RNA (ENSNVIG00000012274.1)
Rfam family: 7SK RNA
About the family: 7SK was discovered as an abundant small nuclear RNA in the mid-70s but a possible function has only recently been suggested. Two independent studies have found that 7SK RNA binds the CDK9/cyclin T complex (known as elongation factor P-TEFb).
Source: Rfam by way of RNAcentral
GGAUGUGGGGGCAUCUGGCUACAACAUCUAUCACCCCAUUGAUCUUCAGGGUUUGAUCCAGCUGAUCUGACUGGCCAGGCAGGGAUCAUCUUCCUUCCUCACAGCUCUAGGUGCACCCCUCCUGAAGGUGUGAAGGUGCACCCUUGGUCCAAGGGAACAAACCUUCCCCAAUAGAGGAAGACAGAUCUUGGUCAGGGGUAUAUGACUAGUGGCACUGGGGAGUGCCACUCCCCAGUUGCUAGAACCUUCAAACAAGCUCUCAAGUUCCAUUUGUAGGAGAAUGUAGGGUGGCCAAGCUUCCAAGACUCCAGACACAUCCUGGUGAGGUGCUGCAUGUGGCAGUCUGUCUUUCUUA